AGCAGCCGCGGUAAUUCCAGCUCCAAUAGCGUAUAUUAAAGUUGUUGCAGUUAAAAAGCUCGUAGUUGAAUUUCGAGAUCAGUACGCUGGUCGUGCCUUCGGUAUGCACUGGUGUCACUGGUUUCUCCCUUCUGAAGAACCGUCAUGUCAUUAAGUUGGUGUGGCGGGGAAUCAGGACUGUUACUUUGAAAAAAUUAGAGUGUUUAAAGCAGGCUCGCGCUUGAAUACAUUAGCAUGGAAUAAUGAAGUAGGACGUUUGACCCUAUUUUGUUGGUUUCUAGGAUCGACGUAAUGAUUAAUAGGGAUAGUUGGGGGCAUUAGUAUUCAAUUGUCAGAGGUGAAAUUCUUGGAUUUAUUGAAGACUAACUACUGCGAAAGCAUUUGCCAAGGAUGUUUUCAUUAAUCAAGAACGAAAGUUAGGGGAUCGAAGACGAUCAGAUACCGUCGUAGUCUUAACCAUAAACUAUGCCGACUAGGGAUCGGAUGAUGUUAAUUUUUAAUGA
Molecule: ribosomal RNA, 503 nt
Filed under: uncultured Glomus
Lineage: Eukaryota; Fungi; Glomeromycota; Glomeromycetes; Glomerales; Glomeraceae
Description: SSU rRNA
Rfam family: Eukaryotic small subunit ribosomal RNA
Source: RNAcentral